Molecule: ribosomal RNA, 468 nt
Filed under: uncultured bacterium
Lineage: Bacteria
Description: partial 16S ribosomal RNA
Rfam family: Bacterial small subunit ribosomal RNA
Source: RNAcentral
GACGAACGCUGGCGGCGUGCUUAACACAUGCAAGUCGAACGGAAAGGCCCUGCUUUUGUGGGGUGCUCGAGUGGCGAACGGGUGAGUAACACGUGAGUAACCUGCCCUUUACUUUGGGAUAACUUCAGGAAACUGGGGCUAAUACCGGAUAGGAGCUCCUGCUGCAUGGUGGGGGUUGGAAAGUUUCGGCGGUUGGGGAUGGACUCGCGGCUUAUCAGCUUGUUGGUGGGGUAGUGGCUUACCAAGGCUUUGACGGGUAGCCGGCCUGAGAGGGUGAACGGCGACAUUGGGACUGAGAUACGGCCCAGACUCCUACGGGAGGCAGCAGGGGGGAAUAUUGCACAAUGGGCGGAAGCCUGAUGCAGAAACGCCGCGUGCGGGAUGACGGCCUUCGGGUUGUAAACCGCUUUCGCCUGUGACGAAGCGUGAGUGACGGUAAUGGGUAAAGAAGCACCGGCUAACUACGUG